This is a non-coding RNA of Fukomys damarensis (Damara mole-rat), 74 nucleotides long. The record is from Rfam. NCBI's taxonomy places the organism in Eukaryota, Metazoa, Chordata, Mammalia, Rodentia, Bathyergidae.
AAGACCAGUGAUGUCAGCCAGCAGUGUGUGAGUCAGGCAUGAUGAGCACCUGCACCUUGAACUCCGAUGUCCAC